Molecule: ribosomal RNA, 1362 nt
Filed under: Triticum aestivum (bread wheat)
Lineage: Eukaryota; Viridiplantae; Streptophyta; Magnoliopsida; Poales; Poaceae
Description: partial small subunit ribosomal RNA
Source: RNAcentral
AUGGGUGCGGUGCUAUCAAAGAAAAGGAUAAGGAAAAGUGAUGCCGUGGUGCAGGAGGUGAAGGUGGUGGAGUCGUGCAUGGUGGCACCAAGCGCGCAGACGCCUAGGCACGGCCUGUGGCUCUCCCCGCUCGACCUCAUGCUGGUCAACAGAGGCCACACCCCCACCGUCUACUUCUACCGCUCCGAGUCCGGCGGCGACUUCUUCGACGUGGCCAGGCUCAAGGCGGCGAUGGCCAAGGCUCUGGUGGCCUUCUACCCCCUGGCCGGCCGUCUCGGCGUGGGCGGCCGUGACGGCAGGGCGGUGAUCGACUGCGCCGGUCAGGGCGCGCUCUUCGUCGCCGCGCGCUCCGAACUGGCCGUCGACGACUUCAGCGGCUUCAAGCCGUCGCCGGAGCUAAGGAGGCUCUUUGUUCCCCGCGUCGAGGAUUACUCGCCUCCCGUCAUGUGCGCCGUCCAGGUCACCUUCUUGAAGUGCGGCGGGGUGGCACUAGGGACCGCGCUGCACCACGUCGCCGCCGACGCCAUCAGCGCCUUCCACUUCUUCGAGACGUGGUCCGCCUUCUCACGGGACGGCGACGCGGCGGCGGCGGCGGCCCUAGAGCCCCCGUUCCACGACCGCACCCUCCUCCGCGCGCGCUCCCCGCCCUUCGUCCACCCGGACGCGCUCACCGUCUUCUGCCCCAAGCUGAACCUCUCCACCGAGCCGUCGGCGAGGCCCGUCGUCAGCGAGGCUUUCGACAUCUCCAAGGACCAGGUCGCCGCUCUCAAGAGUGCGUGCGUCAGCGGCGAGGGCGGGCGCGUGAGCACGUUCUGCGCCGUGAGCGCCCACGUGUGGCGGUGCGUGUGCGUGGCCCGCCGGCUGCCGCCGGACGCCACGACCCGCCUCACCUUCCCGGCCAGCGUCCGGCGCAGCCUGAGGCCGCCGCUCCCGGCCGGCUACUUCGGCAACGGGGUCAUCUGGCUGGGCGCCGCCGGCCAGGUCCGGGACGUCGCCUCCUCGGGCUCGGAGGGCCUGCCCUCCGUGGCCGACCGAAUCAGGGGCGCCGUCCGCCGGAUGGACGACGAGCUGGUGCGCUCGGCGGUCGACUACUUCGAGCUGACCACGGAGGCGGACAGCAAGCCAGCGCCGGGCCGCAUGGCGGAGACGGAGCUGAGGGUGAUCAGCUGGCUGGGCAUGCCGGUGUACGACGCGGACUUCGGGUGGGGGAAGCCGCUGGCGAUGCUGCGCGCCGAGGCGGAGCGCGCCGGGUUCGUCUACCUGAUGGACGGCGGGCAGGGCGCCGGCAGCGUGCGCGUCGUCAUCUGUACGGAGGCCGCGAUCCUGGACGACUUCCAGCGCCUGCUAUAUGCCAAGUUCUAG